UACGGAGGGUGCGAGCGUUGUCCGGAAUCAUUGGGCGUAAAGGGCUCGUAGGCGGUUUGUCACGUCGGGCGUGAAAACUCGGGGCUUAACCCCGAGCCUGCUUCCGAUACGGGCAGACUAGAGGUAUGCAGGGGAGAACGGAAUUCCUGGUGUAGCGGUGAAAUGCGCAGAUAUCAGGAGGAACACCGGUGGCGAAGGCGGUUCUCUGGGCAUUACCUGACGCUGAGGAGCGAAAGUGUGGGGAGCGAACAGG
RNAcentral lists this ribosomal RNA (253 nucleotides) under uncultured bacterium. Its description in RNAcentral is "partial 16S ribosomal RNA". It matches the Rfam family "Bacterial small subunit ribosomal RNA", at positions 524 to 776 of the family's 1533-position model. The record is from RNAcentral.